This 311-nucleotide unclassified non-coding RNA is filed under the name Coprinellus xanthothrix. RNAcentral describes it as "partial internal transcribed spacer region". The stretch from base 1 to 46 matches the Rfam family "Eukaryotic small subunit ribosomal RNA", at positions 1786 to 1831 of the family's 1831-position model. The record is from RNAcentral. Lineage: Eukaryota; Fungi; Basidiomycota; Agaricomycetes; Agaricales; Psathyrellaceae.
AAGUCGUAACAAGGUUUCCGUAGGUGAACCUGCGGAAGGAUCAUUAACGAAUAACUAUGGCGUUGGUUGUAGCUGGCUCCUCGGAGCAAUGUGCACGCCCGCCAUUUUUAUCUUUCCACCUGUGCACCGACUGUAGGUCUGGAUACCUCUCGCCUCCGGGCGGAUGCGAGGGUUGCUCGUAAGGGCUUCCCUUGAACUUCCAGGCUCUACGUCUUUUUACACACCCCAAUAGUAUGAUGCAGAAUGUAGUCAAUGGGCUUCUCAGCCUAUAAAACAAUAUACAACUUUCAGCAACGGAUCUCUUGGCUCUC